RNAcentral lists this long non-coding RNA (4607 nucleotides) under Homo sapiens (human). RNAcentral's name for it is "HSALNT0120097". Lineage: Eukaryota; Metazoa; Chordata; Mammalia; Primates; Hominidae. The record is from RNAcentral.
GACAGGGCAUGUGGAAUGGAAUUUGCAUAAAACUUAUCACCAAAUUCUGGAGGAUUCUCUUCACCCCCUCUCCACUUCCUCCAUUAUUUCUUAAUGGGACAAAAAGUGAUCCAAAAACAACCAAUGAAUUGUGUAUUUCUUGCAUGCCUUUGAUAUGCAGGCACAGAGCUACAAGCUACAUGUCCCUGGCCCCUCUCCCUAGGAGCACAGAGUUCCAGUGAAGAACCUAAAGCACAAACACUGACAGCUGUAAGAUGAGGAAACAGAAGCUGGGAUAUGUUGACAACUUCUUUCCUCUGCCUAUGUUGCCAUCCAUGUCAUGGUUUGUGUCAAGACUCUAGGAGAAGUCUACCAUCAGCACCACAGCUACUGUGCACAAAUCCAGAAUGCCAGACUGAAGUCAGAAGGAAAGAUCCUUUAUAUAUUGAAAGAAGAAAGUAGAACCAUUUCUGGGUCCCAGCUGUGGGAAGAGCUCCUGUGGCUGUGAAUUCUGACUUCUGGGUCUUGGCACAAGGUGUGGCCAGCAAGCUAAGCUGUCCUGAGGGUGUGCAGGGCCAGGGGCUGAAGACAGUGUUGGAGCAUCCACAGACUGGUUUGUCUCAAGAAGCAUGUUACUAAAUAUGAAAUAGCAAAAUCUGCAAGUGGGUUUACUUUUCCCCCAUAGAUUAGAAUGGAUUCAAUAUUAUCUCUUUAUUAGCGUCACUUUUAAUCACUUGUAUAACAAGUAGGACAGAAAGGUGGCUUGAAAGUCAAUCAUGUGAGAAUUCCAGAUAAAUUGACUUUGCUCACAACAAUCUGUUAUUCAUGUGACUAUCAACUGUCAUGUGUGCUGGGGCAAAAAAAGAAGAUAAGGAUUCACUGGUAUCAGAUAGUUCCAGGAGGGGAAACCCAGGAUUGAACUUUUUCAGCCUUCUAUGGUAAAAUUUCCUGCUCUGUCGGUGCGCCAAAGCUUUUUUCAGUUUCCUAAACUCCCAUAUUCAAGAAGAUAAGCUAUUUUCUCUUCUUUCUCAUCCUUCCUUGACAAAGCAAAGCAUAUUUUCAUUGUCUACUCUGUGUCAUCCAUGCUUGGUUCCUGUCCUCAAAGAGCUUAUAGUUCAAAUAAAGGAGAGGGAGCAUUUUACAAGGGAAUUAAAGGUAAAAGAUUCUGAAAGCCAGUUUAAAAAGUCGUGAGGGAGGGGUCUGGGAGAAGCUGAGCAGGGGUGAAAGGGUACGAAACAUUAUGGAAGGAGAACAGGGGAGCACCCUGACUACUGGGUGGAAACACCAAUCAGUGGGUAGAAACCACACAGUGGUAACACUGAUCAGUGGGUAGAAAACAAUGACAGCAGGUAUAUGAGGCAUGGAACACUUGGCUUAUUGUAAAGUUUUCAAAAUAUGCAGUCCUUUCUAUCCACCAGGGGUUGGGAGUUGUCUUUGUAUAUCAACCGUGGAAGGGCUGUUUUGGUUCAUCAUUCUGUGGUCUACCUGGGUAGACCUGAUGCAGCCGUGUUUCUGAGGAAAGGAAGAACAGCUUUUGUUUUGUGAUAUGUAAUGGUAGAUGUAGUGCCAUGGAAUGAUGCAGAUUUCAUUCAGAUAUUCUUGGAUCUUGGCCCCAGGACUCACUCAUUCUUCCCUAUAUGAGCAUUGGUAGUUACAGGUUUUAUCCUUCCUUUAAUUGUAAGUCUUUUGAAGCCAAAAACUGUAUCCAAUUUGUCACUGUCUCCUAACAGUACUUAGCAGUGUCUGAUGCAUCAUAGGGAGUUUGUAAAUGUUUGGAUAAAUAAAGGGAAAACAAAAACAACCACAAAAAAACCUUUAUUUUGCUUUAAUAAAAAUAUUUUAACUAGUUUCCACUGGCAUAUAUAUCCACAUGGUAGAUAUAUUCUAAGAAACAGUCUCUUCAAAUGAUGGCUUCAAUAAUGGAUGAAAAAUAAAUUUCCUAAUGAAUUAUUUUACAGAAAGCACCACACACACACCCCCAACAUCAAUAAAAAAUUCAUUUGUGAUUUUAAGAACUAUAGGAUAAUAAUAGGUAAUCCAUGUGAAGUUAUGACAGCUUGUAAGGCCAGGGAGGGCACGAGGAGAUGAAACACACAGAUCAUCUUCAAACCACAGAAGCUCAGACUUCUCUUGCUCUGAAAGUUGACGAUCAGUGAAAAGCCCACUGAUAGCUGAGUUUUACCUCCUCUUCUUCUGUAUAAUCCCUUUUUUGGUGAAAGCAGAGAUGUCAUGGACAAUGUAGGAUUUCAUCAAAUCUGAGAGGCCAUUGAUUAUAGGACGGCAUUGUUUUAGGUAUCACUAAGAAAGAAAAAAGCCUUGCCAAGUAAACUCCCCAAAUUCAGAGACAUUCAAAUGUUGAAAAAUAACUGUUUCAGAAUCUAUGAAAUACAGACAAUUCUCCCUAAUGCUUGGCCCAGGGCUUUGCAUACCAUAGGUGGUCAAUAAGCAUUUGUUGACUGAGUGAAUAAUGUUGACAAGCAGAAAUGCCUGGUUUAUAAUGCCUAGAGCCCAUCACUGAGAACAGUGGGCUAGAUCCCUUCUUGAUGUUUUAAGUAAUCGCUGAGAGAAUGGGUGGGCGAUUGCUCUUCUGAUUGCUAAGAACAAAACAAAACACAAAACUGAUAAAAAGCAGAGUUGCAGAACUGCAUCCUGUUGAUGUACUGCCAGAGGAGUCAGGCCUGGAGUACUGUUCACUAAGAAAUAGUGACUUUUGCAUCCUCGACGUCCCAGUCAUACACGGGCUUUUCUCUGAAUAAUCAAAGAAGGGAUUAUUUUGUGUAAGAAUGGACAAAUGAGUGUGUGAGUUUGUGUACGGUAAGGAAGGCAGGUAGAUAGAAAUACAUAAAAGAGUAAAAAAUUUCUUAAAAAAGCUCACUGGGUUUAACACAUGCAUCAUUCACACAUCAGAAACCAAUAUACACUUGCGACUCUGUACCCACAGAACUCAGAACUGCAGCUUGCAACUCCAUGUCUCCGCACAGUGAUAAAUAUGGGCAAUAUUAAUGUCAUCUUCUAAGCCCCCAAAAAUAUAGCUGACUCUGUUCAACAGAGCUGGUCAGACUGCGGCAGAUAAAUCAUAUUCAGAUCAGAACUCCAUGUACACAUAAUCUUUGGGGCAUUUGCAAAGUCUAGGGGCAUGCAGUGACAGAUCUGGAUUAUUGAUAUCACUCUGUAGCCUGUCCUCCUUGAGUUUUUUUUUCCUACCAGUAAUAAGGAUGGAUUCUCUGACACUGACCUCCUUAUAAAUUGGCUUCUAGUUCAUCUUUCCAGAGGUGCCACCAGAGAACCAAGAAGCAAUUUCAAUUAAGAGUACAAUUAGGGAACAUACCUUUUGAAAUAUUAUUUUUUAGUUUUUACUCAUUUUCAAUAGUGGUUGUGCAAGACCCUCUUAAGACCAUUUCAAUUUUCAGGAGGUUACUGCAAGAGUCUCACUGGGCUUAUCUGACUGUGUUAAACAAGGGCAGAGCUUAAGAGUUUGAUCACUGCUAGGCUCUUUAACAGGAGGAUCUGUACCGGAUCCCUGUGGGUAUUUCUGUGGGACCUGGCACAGGUUUUUGAACCUAGUAUCUGCUCAACUGAAAUGUAUUAAGUAAAUGAAUAAUGAAUAAAUGAUGCUAAGAAGCACAAGCCUCUUGGUACCACUGUAGCAAUUAAAGACUUUUAGAGUAUAUAAAUUUUUCUUCCUAAAAUGCAUUCUGAGGAGAGUAGAUAGGUAUUAAUGCAAGAAAACGAACACGAGUCCAAAAAAAUUGUUGAGCAUUAGUGGAUUCAGCAAGGAUUUUUAAUCUCUUUUUCUUAGAUUCCCCUGAAAGAAUUUUGAAACUAUGGACCCUGUCACACUUUUAAGUUAGCAUCUAAAUUUUUUAAAUCACAAGUUGUAACAGUUACAAAGGACGCAAUUUCUGGCAUGUUUGACAGUUAUGAAGGACGCAAUUUCUGGCACAUUUCUACUGUUAUAUCACUCUUUUAUUUAUUUUUUUUAUUUUUUGAGAUGAAGUCUUGUUCUGUCACCCGGGCUGGAGUGCAGUGGUGCAAUCUCGACUCACUGCAACUUCCGCCUCCUGGAUUCAAGCAAUUCUCCCACCUCAGCCUCCUGAGUAGCUGGGAUUACAGGCAUGCACCACCACACCCAGCUAAUUUUUUUGUAUUUUUAGUAGAGCUGGGGUUUCGCCAUAUUGUCCAGGCUGUUCUCGAACUCCUGGCCUUAAGUGAGCUGCCCGCCCAAAGUGCUGGGAUUACAGGCUUGAGCCAUCACGCCUGGUCUAUAUUACUCUUUUAAAUGUAUCCACAGAACCUAAGUAUCAUAACAAUUUGAUGCCUAUCUCACUAUUUUAAAAAAAAUAUAGAAACAAGCUCUUGAAAUUUUACAUUUCUUUAUCUCUAUAAAUGCAUUCUUUAUAUUCUACUUUCUCCAUAUGGUUUUAUCUUAAUGAAAUGUAUUGUCAUACUUAAAAGACUUUUCUUGAACAUUUUACUUCUCUGCAACGAAAAUAUGUAUCAAAUUUGAAAUUAAUAGUUUUAUUCAUUGUGCCCUUAAUCUUUUGUAUUAAAAAUUCUACCACUGAUAUUUAACAAACAACAAUAUAAACUUUAAUAAAAUUAUUAAGCAUGAAAAGUAAAAGUACUGG